This 487-nucleotide long non-coding RNA is filed under the name Brassica napus (rape). Its description in RNAcentral is "long non-coding RNA (BNAP_LNC014568)". The record is from RNAcentral. Lineage: Eukaryota; Viridiplantae; Streptophyta; Magnoliopsida; Brassicales; Brassicaceae.
AAAACAGAACAACUCUCAGAGAUUCAAGUCGAUGAGCCUAGACUGUCGGAUCUACGCUUCAGAAAAUUAAACAACCGCCUACAAUCGAUCUAUCGUACUCCAAUUAACAUGCAUGAAACAUCUUACAUCUUUAAAGAUAAGAGUAAGCUUGAAGAUGUAACGGCCCUAAUCAAGGGGAGGAAAUAGUCGGAGAAUCAGAUCGAGAGGCAAUUGAAUCAAGGAAGAGAGAAAGCGAAGAACGAAGUAACCAGAACAAAAAUCCCGGAGUAAAGCCGGCGAAAAUAGAGCUGCGAGAGCCACCGUAUCCUGGAGUCAAGAGCCGGCGAAGAUGAUGCUGACGAAGCCACCUUUUUCCGGAGACCAAAGCCUGAUGAACGGGAGGCAGAACCGGAUCGAAGACCGUCAAACAAAAGAACGGAACGCUUUCUCUCUUUUCUAUGAAAGGUAUAAGAGAGGAAACAAAGAUGAGAGAGAAAGAACGGACGCG